CAGCCAUUCUUCCUUAUCUAGUUCUAUUUCUAGCUAAUGUAAAUCUGCUUUAGGAAGUCGGCUAUCUAAACGGCCUUGCGAAAGGCAGGUACUUUUUCGUCUGCGAAUUCGGAUGGAAACCUGACCUUUCUUCCGAAAACCAUCUCGUGUGGAGUUACACCUGUGGACUCGUGAACGGCGGUGUUGAAUGAAAAAAUGGCAAACGGCAACCACUGGUCCCAGUUACUACGCUCACUAUAGUUUCUCAGGUACGAGGGAUUAAUAAUGGAAUUGUCUACGAGCUCACGACCUAGAGGUGUAGUGAGUACCCCGUCACAUGAAACAUAAUUAAGGAUAUGGUCAUCUCUCAUCCACACCUCAUCUUUACUAAGCUGAAACA
Long non-coding RNA from Belonocnema kinseyi, 379 nucleotides. RefSeq lists it as uncharacterized. NCBI's taxonomy places the organism in Eukaryota, Metazoa, Arthropoda, Insecta, Hymenoptera, Cynipidae. The transcript has 3 exons. The record is from RefSeq and is a predicted model, not a curated record.